This 716-nucleotide long non-coding RNA is filed under the name Gallus gallus (chicken). RNAcentral describes it as "long non-coding RNA NONGGAT004913". The record is from RNAcentral. Lineage: Eukaryota; Metazoa; Chordata; Aves; Galliformes; Phasianidae.
AUCUACUACUGUUUUCUUCUGACAGUGGAUUUUCUGCACAGCUUUAAGUAAAUGAAUUACUCAUUUACCUGUCAUAACAAUAUCCGUUAGCCCAGUAGUUAUGAACUCAAGGGUGGUUCAAUUUUCUUUUCAGAAAAAGGAGAAGCAAGGAAUUAAGUGUUCCAUGCAGGUUGAGAUUAAAGAACUGUUAGUUCUACUGAGGCCUCAAUGCUAUCUUCUGAAAUUAUACGGAACAGAAAAUACAUGCACAUUGCUUCCCCCACGUCAACAGGUCCAUCACUAACUGAGAAGCAAGGAUACCUGGUUCCAGCAUAUUUUCUGUCAGUGUCUGACGAUUGAAGGGAUCAGUGGAAGAAUUCAACAGAUGCCUCAGGAUGAUUGACCUGUCCAUAAUAGUUCCAGAUGGCAACCUCACAGGAUCAGUCAUCAGAGUGUCCAUGAGUGGAUCUGAGGACACAAUCGUCACAUUGAAAACAGAUGAAAGCUUCACCUGAACAGAGACUUACUGCACAGAACUGAUACUCAGUCUCCAAUCAGCCACAUUGCUGAAGUUACAGAAAACAGAUAAUCCCGACGCUCACUUGGGAUAGGCGGGGUCGAGGAUGCGAAGCAUCAGUUGAAUCACCAUGCCAUAGAAAUUCAGACAUCUCCUGAGAAAGUUCUCAUCCAGCAAACCAGCAUCUGCACAAGCCUUGCACCUCACCAGUUUCUGCAGA